This 253-nucleotide ribosomal RNA is filed under the name uncultured bacterium. RNAcentral's name for it is "partial 16S ribosomal RNA". It matches the Rfam family "Bacterial small subunit ribosomal RNA", at positions 524 to 776 of the family's 1533-position model. The record is from RNAcentral.
CACGGAGGGUGCAAACGUUGUUCGGAAUCACUGGGCGUAAAGCGCGUGUAGGCGGCGCAGUAAGUCAGAUGUGAAAGCCCUCGGCUCAACCGAGGAAGUGCAUUUGAAACUGCUGUGCUAGAGUACGGGAGAGGGCUGUAGAAUUCCCGGUGUAGAGGUGAAAUUCGUAGAUAUCGGGAGGAAUACCGGUGGCGAAGGCGGCAGCCUGGACCGAUACUGACGCUGAGACGCGAAAGCGUGGGGAGCAAACAGG